CAGCAUGAAGCCGUUCCUGUCUGUAUUUCAUGCCAAAGCUCAUGAUUUCAAAUGCGAGGUCAAAUGGAGUGGGGCAUAUCAGGAAGGGGCUGGCCUAACACUAGGCGAGGAGGUUGAGCAGUGCAAUGCCUUCCUCUCUAGGAUUGCAGUGACCACAAAGCACAUGUCAAAAGCUGGUGAGAUGACCACAUACUGCACUAGUUAGAUGGACGCACAGACAUGCUGACUCUCUUGGCCAUGCGCUGGAAUCAGCAAAAGUUGGACAAUUUGGCCACCUCACUGUCUCACAGAUAUCACAAGACCAUACAAUCUCUACAAAGCAAGCAACAGAAUGUUGAGUCCAUGAAAGCUCAGUUGGCAGUGACAGAGAGCCAUUUGGAAGACUGGGUCAGUGAUGUCAAAGAGUGGGCAGAAGCAACAACAAACACAAGCACAAAUGAUGUGGAUGCCUUGGCCAGUAGAAUCGAGGUGCUGGUGACCAGUAUAAAGAGACGCUCACAGCGUCUUUAUAAAGAUACUGACGGCAACAAAGGUCGUGCCAGGAUCCGCCGCAAAAUCAGGGAGGAGAAGGGGAUCCUGACCUCUGUUGUGGAGAAAUACAACAAAAUAGUUCCAAGCACAGAAAGUCUUUGCAUGGAAACCAUUGUGUCUGGCGAGACAGCUUGGCCAUGGCAGCUACCACACAGUGGACAAAGAGAAAGGCGUUUGACAUCAUCAUGGCAGUAAGGAGACUGGAGGAGGAGAAGAAUAUUCUUGUUCUGGAGAUGGACCACCACUGGAAAUGGCUUUCAACUCGUGCAAAGACCUCGCAAGAGUUGUCCAGUCUACUUUCUAAUUGGCCAUGUGGCUUUAGUGAAGAGGGGUUGAAAGGUCUGCAGAGCAUCAUCCUGAGAAAGCAGCAGAACAUCAGAGAGAAGAAGAUGCAAGCUAGAGACUGCUACCUGCGACUUUUGUCUGGAGAGACUGCAGAGAACAUGAGCUUCUUGCACAAGCCGGAUGAUUGUGACAGUGACUCGGACAGUUCUGAUGAUGCACUGUAAUUGUACCCGUUACCGCUGCUCCACUUUCCUGUGCCAGUGGAAUUACAAAUGCUACUGUAGGUUGGUCACGUGAUGCCCUCUGGCCCAAAAAUACUUCUUACCAUUGCAACAAAACAAAUGAGCCAUGGUAGCAUGGUUUCCAGCAGGAGUGUUUGAGAAAAAACGGACAAAAUCUCCUUCAUUUCUAGUAUUACUAUUAUUAGUAUUAUUAUUUUUAUAUAGACAGCAGAUAUGAGAGGACAGGGAAGACUGUUUACAAAGUAUCAGGGGAGUCAAUAUCACCAUAAGGUGCCUUUUCCCCAUUUCCCCCCAAAAAAGCUGAGAUUUUCCAUUGAACUUCAUAUUCAUUGCAUUAAGUAUAUGUUAUGCUCUUAGAAAUGCAUAUUGGUCAAGCUCCCACACUUUUUAUAAAUUAACUGCAAGAAGACAAUUUACAUGCAAACAGCAAAAUAUGUCCACCCUGUCAUGGACAAUUUCAAAGCAGAGUAAAUACAUUGUAAUUACAUAGUGAUUAUAAAAUGUACAUUUUCAGAAAGGUAUUUAGUCACUUUCUCAUGUUAAUGGGAAAAGUAUUUGGAUAAUAAUGAAAUGAUGGCAAACUAUUUGUUUCUCUAUAAAAUCUGCGAGAGUUACACUUUCUUUUCUAAAUAAAAUCUAACAACAAAGAUAUCUGGUCAAACUUUCAAACAAUACUAUUUGGCCCUCAUUUGUUUAUAAAGGAACCACACAAAAGAUGUUGCUAACUUGUGAAAAUAAUUUGUUUCUUUUCAUAGAACAUGAAAAUAACAGGGUGGACAGUGACAUGACAGGGUGGACACGUUGUGAAAUGUCAUUGAAUGGCCUCAUAAAUGCCAGGAACAAUGCAAGAAAAUGAUGUAAAAAAAUGCCUUUUCCCAUGUAGGGGGAAAUUACCAGUUGAACAGACCGGUUUGGAUCCACUCAACCUGCAUGCAGCCACUAAAUUAAGAUGACCAAAAGGAGACAUUAAUGUGGCCUUCUAGUGUUAAACUCUGUACAUCAUUCUGCACAGUGAAAGUCAAACAUUCAACUGUAGAAGAAGAAGAAAUUUUGGAGAACAGUUGAUUUGAAAAAAACAGAAUAUUACAGAAAGAUCAUUUGGACGCAUCUCCAAACAGUCUCUCCAUUUCUGCAGAGACAUGGCUCAGUUCCACAUACUUCCAUGCAUACACUUUAAUCUGUACAGAGCGCUUGUUCAGAGCCUGUGGGUCUGGUAUUAGGCAAAGUACCUGCCAGUCAUGGUACCAGCAGAUGUUGUCCCGAAGACUUGGCCAAUGGAACUUGUUUAUGCCAUGGCGUUGCAUACACUUAAAGGAGACAUAUUAUACCCUAUUUCCCCAAGUUAAAAUAGUUCCCUGGUGUCCUAAUGAACAUGUCUGUGACAUGCUUUGGUCAAAAUACCAUAAGGAUGAAGCAUCAUAGCAGUUCAAUAACCCUGCUAAACCCGCCCCUUUCAGAACGCUCGGUUUUCGUGCAUGGUCCCUUUAUAUGCAAAUGAGACACAGGCAAACACACACCCACUUCUUCCAGGGGGUUUCUGAUUUGUCCUCUUUACAGUGCUUUACAGCUCUAUUCCUCUCCCCCUCCCUCCACUAGUUCUCUGACAAUAUCAACAUGGCAGCGUGCGCAGAAAACAGCGAGAGUGGCGUCACAGGAAGAG
Long non-coding RNA from Solea solea (common sole), 2718 nucleotides. RefSeq lists it as uncharacterized. The record is from RefSeq and is a predicted model, not a curated record. NCBI's taxonomy places the organism in Eukaryota, Metazoa, Chordata, Actinopteri, Pleuronectiformes, Soleidae. The transcript is spliced from 7 exons.